Molecule: signal recognition particle RNA, 97 nt
Filed under: Treponema sp.
Lineage: Bacteria; Pseudomonadati; Spirochaetota; Spirochaetia; Treponematales; Treponemataceae
Description: signal recognition particle sRNA small type
Rfam family: Bacterial small signal recognition particle RNA
About the family: The signal recognition particle (SRP) is a universally conserved ribonucleoprotein involved in the co-translational targeting of proteins to membranes.
Source: RNAcentral
CGUCAGGAACCAUGCGAGCGGACGCCGCCCAACCCCGUCAGGUCCGGAAGGAAGCAGCGGUAAGCGGUUGUCCGUUGCGCCGUGGCACCGGGUUUUA